This 265-nucleotide ribosomal RNA is filed under the name uncultured bacterium. RNAcentral describes it as "partial 16S ribosomal RNA". It matches the Rfam family "Bacterial small subunit ribosomal RNA", at positions 89 to 354 of the family's 1533-position model. The record is from RNAcentral.
UACUUAGUGGCGGACGGGUGAGUAACGCGUGGGCAACCUGCCCCGUGCCGGGGGAUACCGCCUGGAAACAGGCGCUAAUACCGCAUAAGCGCAUACAGCCGCAUGGCAGUAUGCGGAAAGCUCCGGCGGCACGGGAUGGGCCCGCGCCCGAUUAGCCAGUUGGCGGGGUAACGGCCCACCAAAGCGACGAUCGGUAGCCGGCCUGAGAGGGUGACCGGCCACAUUGGGACUGAGACACGGCCCAAACUCCUACGGAAGGCAGCAG